CAUAUCAAUAAGCGGAGGAAAAGAAACCAACAGGGAUUGCCCCAGUAACGGCGAGUGAAGCGGCAACAGCUCAAAUUUGAAAUCUGGCCCCCAGGGUCCGAGUUGUAAUUUGUAGAGGAUGCUUUGGGCGAGGUGCCUUCCGAGUUCCCUGGAACGGGACGCCACAGAGGGUGAGAGCCCCGUCUGGUCGGACACCGAGCCUCUGUAAAGCUCCUUCGACGAGUCGAGUAGUUUGGGAAUGCUGCUCAAAAUGGGAGGUAUAUGUCUUCUAAAGCUAAAUAUUGGCCAGAGACCGAUAGCGCACAAGUAGAGUGAUCGAAAGAUGAAAAGCACUUUGAAAAGAGGGUUAAAAAGUACGUGAAAUUGUUGAAAGGGAAGCGCCCAUGACCAGACUUGGGCCCGGUGAAUCAUCCAGCGUUCUCGCCGGUGCACUUUGCCGGGCACAGGCCAGCAUCAGUUCGGGGCGGGGGACAAAGGCUCUGGGAAUGUGGCUCCCCCGGGAGUGUUAUAGCCCACCGCGUAAUACCCUGCGCCGGACUGAGGUACGCGCAUUCGCAAGGAUGCUGGCGUAAUGGUCAUCAGCGACCCGUCUUGAAACACGGACCAAGGAGUCGUCUUCGUAUGCGAGUGUUCGGGUGUCAAACCCCUACGCGGAAUGAAAGUGAACGCAGGUGAGAGCUUCGGCGCAUCAUCGACCGAUCCUGAUGUUCUCGGAUGGAUUUGAGUAAGAGCAUACGGGGCCGGACCCGAAAGAAGGUGAACUAUGCCUGUAUAGGGUGAAGCCAGAGGAAACUCUGGUGGAGGCUCGCAGCGGUUCUGACGUGCGAAUCGAUCGUCAAAUAUGGGCAUGGGGGGCGAAAGACUAAUCGAACCUUCUAGUAGCUGGUUU
Molecule: ribosomal RNA, 889 nt
Filed under: Arachnidicola kunmingensis
Lineage: Eukaryota; Fungi; Ascomycota; Sordariomycetes; Hypocreales; Cordycipitaceae
Description: Akanthomyces sp. QZW-2023a partial large subunit ribosomal RNA
Rfam family: Eukaryotic large subunit ribosomal RNA
Source: RNAcentral